This 544-nucleotide ribosomal RNA is filed under the name uncultured bacterium. RNAcentral describes it as "partial 16S ribosomal RNA". It matches the Rfam family "Bacterial small subunit ribosomal RNA", at positions 355 to 893 of the family's 1533-position model. The record is from RNAcentral.
UGGGGAAUUUUGGACAAUGGGGGCAACCCUGAUCCAGCAAUGCCGCGUGUGUGAAGAAGGCCUUCGGGUUGUAAAGCACUUUUGUCCGGAAAGAAAACGUCGUGGUUAAUACCCGUGGCGGCUGACGGUACCGGAAGAAUAAGCACCGGCUAACUACGUGCCAGCAGCCGCGGUAAUACGUAGGGUGCAAGCGUUAAUCGGAAUUACUGGGCGUAAAGCGUGCGCAGGCGGUCCGCUAAGACAGAUGUGAAAUCCCCGGGCUUAACCUGGGAACUGCAUUUGUGACUGGCGGGCUAGAGUAUGGCAGAGGGGGUAGAAUUCCACGUGUAGCAGUGAAAUGCGUAGAGAUGUGGAGGAAUACCGAUGGCGAAGGCAGCCCCCUGGGCCAAUACUGACGCUCAUGCACGAAAGCGUGGGGGAGCAAACAGGAUUAGAUACCCUGGUAGUCCACGCCCUAACGAUGUCAACUAGUUGUCGGGUCUUCAUUGACUUGGUAACGUAGCUAACGCGUGAAGUUGACCGCCUGGGGAGUACGGUCGCAAGA